This is a long non-coding RNA of Oncorhynchus keta (chum salmon), 881 nucleotides long. RefSeq lists it as uncharacterized. The record is from RefSeq and is a predicted model, not a curated record. The transcript has 3 exons. Lineage: Eukaryota; Metazoa; Chordata; Actinopteri; Salmoniformes; Salmonidae.
UGCAGAUAUUAACAUCAUGGAAACCGGUAGGUGCAGAUAUUAACAUGGAAACCGGUAGGUGCAGAUAUUAACAUGGAAACCGGUAGGUGCAGAUAUUAACAUGGAAACAGGUAGGUGCAGAUAUUAACAUGGAAACCGGUAGGUGCAGAUAUUAACAUGGAAACAGGUAGGUGCAGAUAUUAACAUGGAAACCGGUAGGUGCGGAUAUUAACAUGGAAACCGGUAGGUGCGGAUAUUAACAUGGAAACCGGUAGGUGCAGAUAUUAACAUGGAAACCGGUAGGUGCAGAUAUUAACAUGGAAACCGGUAGGUGCAGAUAUUAACAUGGAAACCGGUAGGUGCAGAUAUUAACAUGGAAACCGGUAGGUGCAGAUAUUAACAUGGAAACCGGUAGGUGCAGAUAUUAACAUGGAAACCGGUAGGUGCAGAUAUUAACAUCAUGGAAACCGGUAGGUGCAGAUAUUAACAUCAUGGAAACCGGUAGGUGCAGAUAUUAACAUGGAAACCAGUAGGUGCAGACAUUAACAUCAUGGAAACUGGUAGGUGCAGAUAUUAACAUCAUGGAAACCGGUAGGUGCAGAUAUUAACAUCAUGGAAACCGGUAGGUGCAGAUAUUAACAUCAUGGAAACCGAUAGGUGCAGAUAUUAACAUGGAAACCGGUAGGUGCAGACAUUAACAUCAUGGAAACUGGUAGGUGCAGAUAUUAACAUCAUGAAAACCGGUAGGUGCAGAUAUUAACAUGGAAACCGGUAGGUGCAGAUAUUAACAUCAUGGAAACUGGUAGGUGCAGAUAUUAACAUCAUGGAAACCGGUAGGUGCAGAUAUUAACAUCAAGAAAACCGGUAGGUGCAGAUAUUAACAUCAUGGAAACCGGUAGGUG